GAUGAAGAACGCAGUGAAAUGCGAUAAGUAAUGUGAAUUGCAGAAUUCAGUGAAUCAUCGAAUCUUUGAACGCACAUUGCGCCCGCCGGUAUUCCGGCGGGCAUGCCUGUUCGAGCGUCAUUUCAACCAUCAAGCCCUGGGCUUGUGUUGGGGACCUGCGGCUGCCGCAGGCCCUGAAAUGCAGUGGCGGGCUCGCAAGACACACCGAGCGUAGUAGCUUACAACCUCGCUUUGGGAGUGCUGCGGGUGCUGGCCGUAAAGCGACCUUUGCGUCUUUAGCACUAGGUUGACCUCGGAUCAGGUAGGAGGACCCGCUGAACUUAAGCAUAUCAAUAAGCGGAGGA
This 344-nucleotide unclassified non-coding RNA is filed under the name soil metagenome. RNAcentral's name for it is "partial contains 5.8S ribosomal RNA, internal transcribed spacer 2, and large subunit ribosomal RNA". The stretch from base 1 to 120 matches the Rfam family "5.8S ribosomal RNA", at positions 35 to 154 of the family's 154-position model. The record is from RNAcentral.